AGUGAACGCUGGCGGUAGGCCUAACACAUGCAAGUCGAACGGCAGCACAGUAAGAGCUUGCUCUGACGGGUGGCGAGUGGCGGACGGGUGAGGAAAACAUCGUAAUCUACUUUUUCGUGUGGGUUAACGUAGCUAAACUUACUCUAAUACCGCAUACGACCUACGGGUGAAAGCAGGGGAUCGUCGGACCUUGCGCGAUUGAAUGAGCCGAUGUCGGAUUAGCUAGUUGGCGGGUUAAUUGCCCACUAAGGGGACGAUCCGUAGCUGGUCUGUGAGGAUGGUAAGCGACACUGGAACUUAGCCAGGGUCAAGACUACUAAGAGAGGCCGCAGUGUGGAAUAUUGGACAAUGGGCGCAAGCCUGAUCCAGCCAUCGCAAGUGGGUGGAGACGGCGUUCCGGUUGUAAAGACGGUUUGUUGGGAAAGAAAAGCAGCCGGUUAAUACCCAGCUGUUCUGACGGUAACCAAAGAAUAAGCACCGGCUAACUUCGUG
This 492-nucleotide ribosomal RNA is filed under the name uncultured bacterium. RNAcentral describes it as "partial 16S ribosomal RNA". It matches the Rfam family "Bacterial small subunit ribosomal RNA", at positions 29 to 507 of the family's 1533-position model. The record is from RNAcentral.